RNAcentral lists this ribosomal RNA (321 nucleotides) under Triticum aestivum (bread wheat). RNAcentral describes it as "partial small subunit ribosomal RNA". Lineage: Eukaryota; Viridiplantae; Streptophyta; Magnoliopsida; Poales; Poaceae. The record is from RNAcentral.
UUGACAAGGAAUUUUCCGGAGAAGCAUAAGUGGUCACAUGCUUACGACGAAGGAGGUUUCCGAUACGGAGACAUGACAAGUAACAUGGUGGAAUGCUUCAAGAAUGUGCUCAAGGGUGUCCGUUCCUUGCCGGUCACUGCAAUAGUGAAAUAUACCUUCUUCAAGCUCAACGAGUAUUUUCUGAGGCAUUUCGAAGAGACGGCCAAAUGGAUAGGUGAGAAAAUGGAAUUUCCCUUCAAAGUUGAGGAUUGGUUGAAGCAUCAAGUGCGCAAGUCUUGGCAUCAACAAAGUAUCCGAUGGUACCACCUUGCAGUUGCAUGA